CCACCAUAGAUCUGUAUUAUACACCGAUCCGAGGAAAUAACCGGAAGUAGAGCGGCCGCCUUUACUGAAGUGCUCCCUGACGUAAACUCGUAAUUGAAGCGUAUGAAGUUACUGACUUUCACAUCAUCUUUGUACAAAUAUGUCUGGAUCUGGACUAACGUGUGCCGUAAUCGGAUGUCACAAUAACAGCAGAAAGCUAAAAAUGUGGAAAAAGAGCGUAUGUGCGCUUCAUAGUCCACAGUUUAAAGAGGAUUGUCCUUGUUGUGUGCCCUACGGUGUACACCGCUUCCCCGGCCGUGCUGAGGAUGAAGACAUUCGCAAGAUGUGGAUUAAAAACGUACACCGAAAGGACUUUGCCCCCAAACAAGUAUUCAAGGGUGUGUGGAGUACACUUCCCUGACGGCAGACCAACGCAGGAACACCCAUGAAUAUAGUAAAGCACCAUCAUGUGGAAGACCACCCCAAAGAGGAGAUGUCUCCAGCCCCCAACAGAGAGACCAUGUGAUGAGCCUCCUGUGACAGAUUCUGACACCGAAGUAGGGCAUAGCUUGGAGGAUAGUCUGUCUCCACACCAAUGUGAUGUUGGCACUCAGUGGCCAGAGCGUAGUGAUCAUGAUUAUUGUUCGAUGAAGUCAACAAAAGAUGCAAGCACACAAACAGAUCCUACACCAUCACUGUCAGCUCAUGACAUGGAUGAUAAAGUGUCAAAAUUUUACACUGGACUAGACAUCAUCAGCUUUUGGCAACUUUUGAACACCAUCAUUGGCUUUCUUCCACAGUCGAAGACGUUCAAAUUACCAGUCCAUGAACAGCUACUGCUGGUCCUAAUGAGGCUUCGGCUUGGCUACAGCCUGUGAUAUGUUCGCAAUGUGGAGAGCAACACUUACCAAUUUCACAAGGGAAAAUCUUAUGUUUUGGCUCCCUCGAGACACUCUGAAUAGAGUAAGACCCUCAAGUUUUCUUGAACACUAUCCCAAUGCAACAUGCAUCAUAGAUUGCACUGAAAUAUUUGUCCAAAGACCGAAGUACCGAAGAACUAUAAGCAUCACAACACCUACAAACUCCUCUAUUGCAUAGCCCCCAAUGGUUUUGUGAUGUAUGUGUCAAAACUGUUUGGUGGCAGAGCUAGUGACACUUUUAUCACAAACUGUGGAUUUCUGUCACAUUUGAUUUUUGGUGAUCAGAUUUUGACAGACCGGGGAUUCACAAUUGGAGAUGUUCUUCCUCCAGGAGUGACAUUGGCUAUUCCAGCAUUUACACGUGGAUGUACACAACUAUCAGAACAUGAAGUCACAAGAACCCGCCGUCUCGCCAAUGUCCGAAUUCAUGUUGAACGUGCAAUAAGAAGGUUAAAAUGCUUCAAAAUUUUGAGUAAUGUAAUUCCAGGUUGAUUAAAACAUGUUGAUGACAUUUUGA
Engraulis encrasicolus (European anchovy) is the source of this 1416-nucleotide long non-coding RNA. RefSeq lists it as uncharacterized. Lineage: Eukaryota; Metazoa; Chordata; Actinopteri; Clupeiformes; Engraulidae. The record is from RefSeq and is a predicted model, not a curated record. The transcript is spliced from 3 exons.